This 429-nucleotide ribosomal RNA is filed under the name Bacteroidota bacterium. Its description in RNAcentral is "Bacteroidetes bacterium partial 16S ribosomal RNA". It matches the Rfam family "Bacterial small subunit ribosomal RNA", at positions 355 to 776 of the family's 1533-position model. Lineage: Bacteria; Pseudomonadati; Bacteroidota. The record is from RNAcentral.
UAGGGAAUCUUCCGCAAUGGACGCAAGUCUGACGGAGCAACGCCGCGUGAGUGAAGAAGGAUUUCGGUUCGUAAAACUCUGUUGUUAGAGAAGAACAGCGCAUAGAGUAACUGUUAUGCGUGUGACGGUAUCUAACCAGAAAGCCACGGCUAACUACGUGCCAGCAGCCGCGGUAAUACGUAGGUGGCAAGCGUUGUCCGGAUUUAUUGGGCGUAAAGCGAGCGCAGGCGGUCAAUUAAGUCUGAUGUGAAAGCCCCCGGCUCAACCGGGGAGGGUCAUUGGAAACUGGUUGACUUGAGUGCAGAAGAGGAGAGUGGAGUUCCAUGUGUAGCGGUGAAAUGCGUAGUUAUAUGGAGGAACACCAGUGGCGAAGGCGACUCUCUGGUCUGUAACUGACGCUGAGGCUCGAAAGCGUGGGUAGCAAACAGG